This 289-nucleotide ribosomal RNA is filed under the name uncultured bacterium. Its description in RNAcentral is "partial 16S ribosomal RNA". It matches the Rfam family "Bacterial small subunit ribosomal RNA", at positions 334 to 619 of the family's 1533-position model. The record is from RNAcentral.
UGCGCCUACGGGACGCAGCAGUGAGGAAUAUUGGUCAAUGGGCGGAAGCCUGAACCAGCCAAGUCGCGUGAGGGAGUAAGGCCCUACGGGUCGUAAACCUCUUUUGCCGGGGAGCAGUGCCCAGCUCGUGAGCUGGGAGGGAGCGUACCCGGAGAAAAAGCAUCGGCUAACUCCGUGCCAGCAGCCGCGGUAAUACGGAGGAUGCGAGCGUUAUCCGGAUUUAUUGGGUUUAUAGGGUGCGUAGGCGGGCCUUCAUGCCGGCGGUAAAAAUUCCGGGCUCCACCCCCGC